Molecule: signal recognition particle RNA, 225 nt
Filed under: chicken gut metagenome
Description: Bacterial large signal recognition particle RNA
Rfam family: Bacterial large signal recognition particle RNA
About the family: The signal recognition particle (SRP) is a universally conserved ribonucleoprotein involved in the co-translational targeting of proteins to membranes. Archaeal SRP consists of a 7S RNA and homologues of the eukaryotic SRP19 and SRP54 proteins.
Source: RNAcentral
UGUGCUAGGUGGGGAGUCAGCGGUGCCCUGUAUCUGCAAUCCGCUACAGCAGAGCCGAAUAUCUCUCUCGGGUGCGCCUAUGGAAGGUCCGCACGCCGUAAGGGGCGUUGAUAGCAAGGUCUUAUGCAACGCAUUGCCGUGAACCGUGUCAGGGCAGGGAUGCAGCAGCACUAAGCGGAUUUGUGCGUGUGCCAUGAGGUAGCUUUGCAGGAGUUGCCUGCGGCG